RNAcentral lists this long non-coding RNA (470 nucleotides) under Elaeis guineensis (African oil palm). RNAcentral describes it as "long non-coding RNA (EGUI_LNC011895)". The record is from RNAcentral. Lineage: Eukaryota; Viridiplantae; Streptophyta; Magnoliopsida; Arecales; Arecaceae.
AUCUAUUGUACCUUACCUGGAAUCCAAAACAUUGCUCAUCUAAUAUAUCUAGCAGUCCAAACAAGACGAUCGUAUUUGUCUCAAAAUGGAAUUAGGUGACUACCAAGACUCCGAAUCCUCUGCAAUACGCCUUUUGUACUGCAAAGUACUGUAUUACCAUGAUCAUGGAUAGUGACCAUGCCAUCCAUCUUUGGGAUGGACGGCUGAUGCUUGUCUGAGAUAUGCAUCGUGUAUGGCACCGAGCGUGAUUGCUCAAAUUUUUACAAUGAAUGGCAACCAUCCAUCACUGAGAUAGAUGAUGUAGUAUCUAUCCAGCAUGGUACAACACUCUACAGUAUAAAAAGUAUAUUAUUGCUAAAGAUCCAUACUCAGACUCCUAAGUAAACAGGGGUACCAUGGUCUAUUCCAAGAACACAUUUCAUUUAUCCUCCCUGUAAAAACUACAGCAUUGAGGCUUCUCUACAUCGGCA